UACGUAGGGGGCAAGCGUUAUCCGGAUUUACUGGGUGUAAAGGGAGCGUAGACGGUUCUGCAAGUCUGGAGUGAAAGCCCGGGGCUCAACCCCGGGACUGCUUUGGAAACUGUGGAACUAGAGUGCAGGAGAGGUAAGUGGAAUUCCUAGUGUAGCGGUGAAAUGCGUAGAUAUUAGGAGGAACACCAGUGGCGAAGGCGGCUUACUGGACUGUAACUGACGUUGAGGCUCGAAAGCGUGGGGAGCAAACAGG
RNAcentral lists this ribosomal RNA (253 nucleotides) under uncultured Clostridium sp. RNAcentral describes it as "partial 16S ribosomal RNA". It matches the Rfam family "Bacterial small subunit ribosomal RNA", at positions 524 to 776 of the family's 1533-position model. Lineage: Bacteria; Bacillati; Bacillota; Clostridia; Eubacteriales; Clostridiaceae. RNAcentral also lists the same sequence under 1 other name. The record is from RNAcentral.